RNAcentral lists this ribosomal RNA (253 nucleotides) under uncultured bacterium. RNAcentral's name for it is "partial 16S ribosomal RNA". It matches the Rfam family "Bacterial small subunit ribosomal RNA", at positions 524 to 776 of the family's 1533-position model. The record is from RNAcentral.
UACGGAGGGUGCAAGCGUUAUCCGGAUUCACUGGGUUUAAAGGGUGCGUAGGUGGGCAGGUAAGUCAGUGGUGAAAUCUCCGAGCUUAACUCGGAAACUGCCAUUGAUACUAUCUGCCUUGAAUAUCCUGGAGGUGAGCGGAAUAUGUCAUGUAGCGGUGAAAUGCUUAGAUAUGACAUAGAACACCAAUUGCGAAGGCAGCUCACUACGGGAUGAUUGACGCUGAGGCACGAAAGCGUGGGGAUCAAACAGG